UACAGAGGGUGCGAGCGUUAAUCGGAAUUACUGGGCGUAAAGCGUGCGUAGGCGGUCGUGUAAGUCGGGUGUGAAAGCCCCGGGCUCAACCUGGGAAUUGCAUUCGAGACUGCACGGCUGGAGUGCGGAAGAGGGAAGCGGAAUUUCCGGUGUAGCGGUGAAAUGCGUAGAUAUCGGAAGGAACAUCAGUGGCGAAAGCGGCUUCCUGGUCCAGCACUGACGCUCAGGCACGAAAGCGUCGGGAGCAAACAGG
This 253-nucleotide ribosomal RNA is filed under the name uncultured bacterium. Its description in RNAcentral is "partial 16S ribosomal RNA". It matches the Rfam family "Bacterial small subunit ribosomal RNA", at positions 524 to 776 of the family's 1533-position model. The record is from RNAcentral.